This is a long non-coding RNA of Nicotiana attenuata, 1740 nucleotides long. RefSeq lists it as uncharacterized. The transcript is spliced from 2 exons. The record is from RefSeq and is a predicted model, not a curated record. NCBI's taxonomy places the organism in Eukaryota, Viridiplantae, Streptophyta, Magnoliopsida, Solanales, Solanaceae.
UGCUCCCACAGUUUCACCCGUUCUAUUACCCCUUUGCUCAUUCAAGCAAAAGCUUCAGUAGUCUUAAACAUGGCAGAAGCUUGCCUCGCCGAUUUUGACCGAAAGCAGAGGUGGAAGGGAACAAGAAAUAACACUUUACAUUAUCAAAAAUACUGUCUAGGACCGGAGCGGCUGCUCGAACACUACUGCAAAUACUACUGUUUUUCUUACUCUUUGCACUCUUCUCAUCCCUUAGAACUCUCAGAAAGAACUUUCAAACUUUUAUUUACUGUCUCGGUGUACUUUAUCCGCGAUAGAGGUGUUCGAACCCAUUUGACUCGAGGUUCGGAUCUGUUCAUGACGAGAGAAUAGAUUCGAGGUCGAGGCUCCCGUACACUGCCCUACAAGAGGUAAAAUCUGACCUUUAUCUGGCUUUUUCUCUUCCGUUUAGAAACUUUGUGUCUGCUUAGAAAUUAUGGUAAAAGGGCGUGUAUAGUCAGAUUUAACGGUGUUAUUAUUUAUUGUUUGGAUCUCCAAAAGUCAUAAUAUUUGAAAUUGUUAGUAACCGUGUUCAUGAUUGUGAGCUAAGCAUAAAUAAAUGUAGUAGAAAUCAUGUUUAGGCAUUCUUUUAAUCGUGUGAAGAUUUGUGGCAAAUUUUGAUAGUUGUUGUGGUUUAAAAAUUCAUCUUUAGUUUCCCUUUUAAGUCAAAAUCAUGAACAACUUAUUUGUGAACUAACAUAUCUUGAGAUGUCUUAUUUGUGAUAAUUACUUUAACCUCUAGAAUACAUGAUUUAGGAUUUUUACUGUUUGUGAAACAGAAACCAUGAUGAUAAGAUUAAUUUCAUAGUAGAAGUCACGUCUCUGAUUAUUUAUAUCCUUGGUUAAUAUGAGUAAUAUUUUAAGGAAGCAUGAUAUGUGCCCUUUGGCUCAAACGCCAGAUAAAUGAACCUGACCUGCUAAAUUUAUGUUUAAGCCUUGCACAUAAAGCUAUUUAAAAGUAUUCUAUAUUUUCUGUUUGCAUUGAGGAACACUGUAGAACCAAGGUAAGAUUCUGCUAUGACUAAUAAACUAAGAAAUCCCUUUGAUUCAUCUACACAUGAUGUAAUUUGUGCAUGGUUCUUACGAUGGCAUAUCCAUUCGUAUAUGUUUCAGAAAUACUAGCUUUAACAAACUCCGUGCUUGACUGAGCGUGUCUGAUAUUAACUGAAAAUAUUCCAACUCACUGUUCGCUUUCAGUUUAAGGCCAACAUGAUUUUACUUAGUUUAUUUCAUCUUCAAUAGGAAGCAAGAUUAAUAAGAUUUCUUCCUAACUUCCUCUUUCCUUUUCUUUUCCUUGUUUACAUGACAUGACGGAGCUGCUCCCGAGUUCCAUUUUGAGACUCCAUGUCGCUGUCUAGAACCAGUGUUUGCAUUAUCAUCACUCAGCUCUCUCUCCGAAAUAAAUCCGAACAGCAAAAAAUGGAUUUUAAAGGCGCUGAAACAGGAAUUGCAAAAGUUGUUAUCCUUUUGUUAGGAGCUAAAUGGGGCUGUCUACCAUAUUAUUAUUUUUUUUUCUCCCUCUUAUUACUGCUUACUUGAAUGAUGGCUAACAUUUUACUGUGUGAUUAUCUUUUAACUUUAGUUGUGUGAUUGACAUUAAAACCAAAUAUUAGUACAUGAUUAGUAACUAUGCUCCCAUUUGAUCACAUAGGAUCUUCACCUCUAGUUAACAAUGUAUUACUGACUCUAAAGAUCUGUCUAUGGUUUAGUUAAAAUUUCCCA